CGACAUCAACCGACAACAGUCCGUAUAUACUCGGGGAUUGGCCUGAGAGUCUCUACCCGGCGACCGUAAUCGCCGGACUACGAACGAAAGUGAAUCUAGG
This 100-nucleotide non-coding RNA is filed under the name Tumebacillus sp. RNAcentral describes it as "Guanine sequence". It matches the Rfam family "Purine riboswitch aptamer". Rfam says of the family: Riboswitches are metabolite binding domains within certain messenger RNAs that serve as precision sensors for their corresponding targets. Allosteric rearrangement of mRNA structure is mediated by ligand binding, and this results in modulation of gene expression. Lineage: Bacteria; Bacillati; Bacillota; Bacilli; Caryophanales; Alicyclobacillaceae. The record is from RNAcentral.